AUUUAUAUAAUAUAAAAAAUAUAUUUGACUUCCAAUCAAAAAAUCUAGAGAUAGUAUAAAUA
RNAcentral lists this transfer RNA (62 nucleotides) under Cassida rubiginosa. RNAcentral's name for it is "tRNA-Gly". Lineage: Eukaryota; Metazoa; Arthropoda; Insecta; Coleoptera; Chrysomelidae. The record is from RNAcentral.